This 105-nucleotide ribosomal RNA is filed under the name Flavobacteriales bacterium. Lineage: Bacteria; Pseudomonadati; Bacteroidota; Flavobacteriia; Flavobacteriales. The record is from RNAcentral.
GGCUAUAGCGUUGGUGUUCACCUCUUACCAUUCCGAACAGAGAAGUUAAGCCCAACAGCGCUGAUGGUACUGGGUUCGCCCUGGGAGAGUAAGUCGUUGCCAAUU